UCACUGCAGAAUCUUGAAGGAGGCGGAAAUGAUUGCAUUUUAAAGUAAAAAUUAUUUCCCCACACUUGUAUACUCACCGUGUCCAAGCAGCCAGUCCAUCAGCAGGCAUCAAGACGUGUGUUCCAAGUGCCCAGUCCAGGAUCCCUUGCAAGGACAUGAAGGAGGAGAGACACCAGCUAUCCACCAGCAAGUCUCCUUGACUCCUUGGAGAUGGGUCACAAGCAGAUGAUUUGUCAGUAUUAUGCAUCCCUUGUGCACACCCCAGUGUGUCUGAGGUCCUGGAAGCUGUUCACAUUUCAGUGUGCUGCAAGGUAGAGAGCAGUGAAGCCCUUGGUGGAUUGAGGACUGACCUCCACACUUCCCUGCAGCUCCAGCUUUGGGACCAUCCUUUCUCUUGGCAUCGGAGCUCAGAGGUCUUUCUUUGUUAAAUUCUACUUCAAUUGGUUUAAUUCUGUUUUCUUGCUGGAAGAGGAUUCAGUAAAACAAACAAAACAUCUUACCAAUGUGAAUAUUCACAAUUAAUGAAAAAACUCUGAAACAGGAAGGUCAUUUCUUGGGGAGGGAGACUGGUAUUAUUUUGAAUGAAGGCAAGAGUGCAAAGAUCUUGCAAUAUUUGCUGUAAAUGGGUUGUUAUGGUGAACAUUCCUGUCAGCAAGUUCAUUAGCUCAGAGAUCCACGAGUGAACAGAGACCAAAAAAUAUUUUUAAAAAUUCAAGAACAGAUUAGUGGACAAUAUUUUGCAAUCUUUGUCUAGCUCUGCUUCUCACUGAGAAUUAGUAACUUUACUCCAGGCCAGAUUCAAAUAGUCUUACUCAUGCAGAGCAGCACUGUGUUUUAUGAGUAACCCCAGUGACAUUUAGGGCUGUAUUUUGGAAUAAGAUUGGAAUCAGAGAAAGACAGUGGGAGGCAUAGCUGAAUCACCUUGAUUAAUAAGUGUAAGAUUGUUGGCUUUUUAUGUGUCUAUAUAAAUAAACAUAAUGAGAAUAAGGAGGGAUGUCUGAGU
RNAcentral lists this long non-coding RNA (1003 nucleotides) under Lonchura striata (white-rumped munia). RNAcentral describes it as "domestica (Bengalese finch) lncRNA (ENSLSDG00000012138.1)". Lineage: Eukaryota; Metazoa; Chordata; Aves; Passeriformes; Estrildidae. The record is from RNAcentral.